UACGUAGGGUGCAAGCGUUGUCCGGAAUUACUGGGCGUAAAGAGCUCGUAGGCGGUUUGUCACGUCGUCUGUGAAAUCCUCCAGCUCAACUGGGGGCGUGCAGGCGAUACGGGCAGACUUGAGUACUACAGGGGAGACUGGAAUUCCUGGUGUAGCGGUGAAAUGCGCAGAUAUCAGGAGGAACACCGGUGGCGAAGGCGGGUCUCUGGGUAGUAACUGACGCUGAGGAG
RNAcentral lists this ribosomal RNA (230 nucleotides) under uncultured microorganism. RNAcentral describes it as "partial 16S ribosomal RNA". It matches the Rfam family "Bacterial small subunit ribosomal RNA", at positions 524 to 753 of the family's 1533-position model. The record is from RNAcentral.